UUCUUAUUGGAUGAUGACUAUCACAUGUCAUAUUCUGAUUGGAUGUCAAUUCCAUGAAAGAUGAAAUGCAUGUUUAUUUUCAUUAACCAAUCAAAACAUGACACGCGGUAGUCAUCAUCC
This is a non-coding RNA of Glycine soja, 120 nucleotides long. The record is from Rfam. Lineage: Eukaryota; Viridiplantae; Streptophyta; Magnoliopsida; Fabales; Fabaceae.